AUACGGAGGGGGCUAGCGUUGUUCGGAAUUACGGGGCGUAAAGGGCGUGUAGGCGGAUCGAUCAGUCAGGCGUGAAAGCCCCGGGCUCAACCCGGGAACUGCGUUUGAAACUGUCGAUCUUGAGUUCGGGAGAGGGUAGUGGAAUUCCCAGUGUAGAGGUGAAAUUCGUAGAUAUUGGGAAGAACACCAGUGGCGAAGGCGGCUACCUGGACCGAUACUGACGCUGAUGCGCGAAAGCGUGGGGAGCAAACAGGAUUAGAUACCCCGGUAGUCC
This 274-nucleotide ribosomal RNA is filed under the name uncultured bacterium. RNAcentral's name for it is "partial 16S ribosomal RNA". It matches the Rfam family "Bacterial small subunit ribosomal RNA", at positions 523 to 796 of the family's 1533-position model. The record is from RNAcentral.